UACAGAGGUGGCAAGCGUUGUUCGGAAUUACUGGGCGUAAAGGGCGCGUAGGCGGCCAACUAAGUCACACGUGAAAUCCCCAGGCUUAACCUGGGAACUGCGUGUGAUACUGGAUGGCUUGAAUUCGGGAGAGGGAUGCAGAAUUCCAGGUGUAGCGGUGAAAUGCGUAGAUAUCUGGAGGAAUACCGGUGGCGAAGGCGGCAUCCUGGACCGAGAUUGACGCUGAACGGCGAAAGCUAGGGGAGCGAACCGGG
RNAcentral lists this ribosomal RNA (254 nucleotides) under uncultured bacterium. RNAcentral describes it as "partial 16S ribosomal RNA". It matches the Rfam family "Bacterial small subunit ribosomal RNA", at positions 524 to 777 of the family's 1533-position model. The record is from RNAcentral.